Non-coding RNA from Canis lupus familiaris (dog), 1961 nucleotides. The record is from the annotation of a RefSeq genome assembly. Lineage: Eukaryota; Metazoa; Chordata; Mammalia; Carnivora; Canidae.
AAGACGCCAGAAUGAAAUAUAGAGUCAGAGAAUAUAAACCCUUUCUGGAAAGAAAUGAAUGAAAAGAGAGAUUAAGCUCCUCCCAAUCUCUGUGCUAAAUACUUAAUGCAGAUUAUUUAAUUUAAUCCUUAAAACAAUAGUGCAGAAUAUGAUCCACAUGGCCAUAUGUGGAUUAAUCUCAGGCGAUGGAGCCACCCUGAUUUUUCAACACACAAUAAUCAUGAAACACUACAGUGAUGAGCAAUAGGAAAGGGGGUACCUUAUCUACACGGUUUUGAAGUACAGGAUAGUUUAUAAAGAAGAACAUGUUUUUCUUGAAGAAUUAUAAGUAAAAUUUACAAAUUUACUGAAGGACAAAUGAAGUCUGCCCUGGUCUGGACCUUGGCAGGCAUUUCUAAGGUGUGCAUAUUAACCUACAAGGGGAUACUCUGGUUUCUCUUCAGAUCAUAUAAAUCUUUCACCUUUUUACCUCCAAGGGGUCCACAACAUGUAGCACCAAGAGAGGACUUGACCAGGAUGAAAGACAUUUCUAGUAGAACACCUGCUGCUGACAUUCCUGGAACACAGCCAUGCCAAUGCAUUUCCUAACUGUCAAUGACUGCUUUUGUGCUACAAUGGCAGAGGUGGUAAAUCACAAGAGAGAUCUUAGGCCAAACAGUCUAAAUAAAAUAUUUGCAAUCUGGCCCUGUACAGAAAAAUGUUGGCAGCGUCUCUGUGCAAAAUGAGUAAAGGAAUGAAUUCAUAGCUAUCACUAAAAUUUAAGAUACAAGAAGAAAAUAUAUUGCUAUAUUUUACUGCAUGAAAAUGAAAAAAAAACUUGCAAUGCAAAACGCAGCAUAAGAUGAAGCAAAAGACAAAUGACAAACCAUGAGGAAAACUUGCAACUUGUAUAGCACAUAAUGGUCAACUAUCCUCAAAAUAAAAAUCCAUUCUAAAAAUGGAAGUAAAUCACUUAACACAUCCUGUAGGAAAGUAGCAAAAGAUGAAAAGCCAAUUUAUGAAAAGAAAUAUAAAAAAUAGUUCUUAAAAAUAUAAAUAGAAGUUCAACUUCACUUUUAAUAAGAUAAAUAUUAAUUAAAACUAUAUUGAGAUACCAUUUCACAUUCACAAGAUUGAAUAAAAAUAAUAACCUCGUGAAGCUAUGGGAAAAACAGACAUCUCACACAUUGCUACUAAGGAUGCAAAAUACAACACUUUUGUGAAAGAAUCUGGAAACCUGAACCAGCCCCGCCUUCCUGCCAAUGCCUGACAAGUUCUUUUAGCAGGGACCUCACUUCUUACCUUGUACCCUGGGGAGCUAGCCAGGUCAACAGGAUGCUACUGCUGGAAGUGAUCAUCAUCUCAUCCCUCUGGACUUUUGGCCUUGGGCAGGUGAAGUUAGAACAACAUGAAAUAUCAGUUUCCAGAGCAAGAGAUAAGACUGCUCGCAUAUCAUGCAAGGUGAUCACUGAGGAUUUUAACAGUGAAGUUAUACACUGGUACCGACACAAACCAGAUCAGGAGAUAGAACAUCUAAUAAUGGUCCAAACAAGCUCUACUCAAGCUUCUUUAGAUGGGAGGAAAAACAAACUUGAGGCAAGUAAAAAUGCCGUUACUUCCACAUCAACUUUGAGUAUAAAUUUCUUACAAGAAGAAGACGAAGCCAUGUACUACUGUGCCUGCUGGAAAGGAUCCACAGCAUCAGAGUUGCCAAAAGAAGCUGCACAAGAAUCAUCUUCAGGUCUGACCCACCCACAUUCUUCUCAAUAUGAGCAACCACAGAAGCUGCACAGCUGGGUGACCACUCUGAGCCUCUGUCCCUUGGCAGUAUUUCCUGAGCUUUGCAGGAAGACAUCAUUGGUUCUGCUCAGUGAAUUCCACAUGAUAUCAGCAAUGAUAGCAUAUGUAUAACCAUUUUGAUACUAUUUUCCUUGAAAUUCACUUGUCUGAGAACUCUGAAAAUACAAGGUGGUUGGUUCAGA